Molecule: ribosomal RNA, 557 nt
Filed under: uncultured bacterium
Lineage: Bacteria
Description: bacterial SSU rRNA
Rfam family: Bacterial small subunit ribosomal RNA
Source: RNAcentral
ACGGGUGAGUAACGCGUGGGAAUCUACCCAUCUCUGCGGAAUAGCUCUGGGAAACUGGAAUUAAUACCGCAUACGCCCUACGAGGGAAAGAUUUAUCGGGGAUGGAUGAGCCCGCGUUGGAUUAGCUAGUUGGUGGGGUAAAGGCCUACCAAGGCGACGAUCCAUAGCUGGUCUGAGAGGAUGAUCAGCCACAUUGGGACUGAGACACGGCCCAAACUCCUACGGGAGGCAGCAGUGGGGAAUAUUGGACAAUGGGCGCAAGCCUGAUCCAGCCAUGCCGCGUGAGUGAUGAAGGCCUUAGGGUUGUAAAGCUCUUUCACCGAUGAAGAUAAUGACGGUAGUCGGAGAAGAAGCCCCGGCUAACUUCGUGCCAGCAGCCGCGGUAAUACGAAGGGGGCUAGCGUUGUUCGGAAUUACUGGGCGUAAAGCGCACGUAGGCGGAUAUUUAAGUCAGGGGUGAAAUCCCGCAGCUCAACUGCGGAACUGCCUUUGAUACUGGGUAUCUUGAGUAUGGAAGAGGUAAGUGGAAUUCCGAGUGUAGAGGUGAAAUUCGUAGA